UCGAGAAUCUUCGGCAAUGGACGAAAGUCUGACCGAGCGACGCCGCGUGCGGGAUGAAGGUCUUCGGAUUGUAAACCGCUGUCAGAGGGGAUGAAGUAUACGGAAGCAAUCUUUCGUAUUUGACAGAGCCUCAGAGGAAGCACGGGCUAAGUUCGUGCCAGCAGCCGCGGUAAUACGAACUGUGCGAACGUUAUUCGGAAUCACUGGGCUUAAAGGGUGCGUAGGCGGUUUUCUAAGUCACGUGUGAAAUCUUCCGGCUCAACCGGAAAACUGCGCGUGAAACUAGUUAACUGGAGUGAGGUAGGGGUGUGUGGAACUUCCGGUGGAGCGGUGAAAUGUGUAGAGAUCGGAAGGAACGCCAGCAGCGAAAGCGGCACACUGGGCCUUUUCUGACGCUGAGGCACGAAAGCUAGGGGAGUGAACG
This 424-nucleotide ribosomal RNA is filed under the name uncultured Planctomyces sp. RNAcentral's name for it is "bacterial SSU rRNA". It matches the Rfam family "Bacterial small subunit ribosomal RNA", at positions 355 to 774 of the family's 1533-position model. The record is from RNAcentral. Lineage: Bacteria; Pseudomonadati; Planctomycetota; Planctomycetia; Planctomycetales; Planctomycetaceae.